RNAcentral lists this ribosomal RNA (434 nucleotides) under Streptococcus mitis. Its description in RNAcentral is "bacterial SSU rRNA". It matches the Rfam family "Bacterial small subunit ribosomal RNA", at positions 28 to 455 of the family's 1533-position model. The record is from RNAcentral. Lineage: Bacteria; Bacillati; Bacillota; Bacilli; Lactobacillales; Streptococcaceae.
GACGAACGCUGGCGGCGUGCUAAUACAUGCAAGUAGAACGCUGAAGGAGGAGCUUGCUUCUCUGGAUGAGUUGCGAACGGGUGAGUAACGCGUAGGUAACCUGCCUGGUAGCGGGGGAUAACUAUUGGAAACGAUAGCUAAUACCGCAUAACAGUAGAUGUCGCAUGACAUUUGCUUAAAAGGUGCAAUUGCAUCACUACCAGAUGGACCUGCGUUGUAUUAGCUAGUUGGUGAGGUAACGGCUCACCAAGGCGACGAUACAUAGCCGACCUGAGAGGGUGAUCGGCCACACUGGGACUGAGACACGGCCCAGACUCCUACGGGAGGCAGCAGUAGGGAAUCUUCGGCAAUGGACGGAAGUCUGACCGAGCAACGCCGCGUGAGUGAAGAAGGUUUUCGGAUCGUAAAGCUCUGUUGUAAGAGAAGAACGAGUG